CGCCGCGUUUCCACGACAACUCCUUGGAAACAAACACCACGCAGCGUCAUCUUCCCCGGCAGGAAAAGGCCAGAUCCUGCCCCGCCCCUCUGAGGCAUAGCAAAGCUGGCCGCAGGGCGGGGACGGAUCUGCCCCGGGAAGACCCCUGCCCUCGUGGCCCAGCCAGGGGAGUCCCCUUCUUUCCUUCAAAGGUCCCGCUCAGGACUGGGGAGGGCCCCCGCCCGGGCCCCUCCCCCUCUGUUUCCUCCAAGCCGAGCGGGUUGAGAAGUCUUCCUGCUCCGGAGGGCGGACAAUUCAUCGUUCCCUCUACCCCCACGCAUCGCCAACCAGGAAGAGCGCGAGCUGCCCAGCUCGAUCCCAAAUGUGCAGCCAAGAAGCGGAGUCUUGGUGGGAGGUAUCUGAGGCUUGGACCGCGUAUGGAGCAGGACCAGAUGGGGCGCCCGAUCGACGAUGGUCCCCCCAAAGCGCCAAGCUGAAAUACAGGGGCGCCGUCUAGUGGGCAUUUGGGGAAAAGCAAGUGGAGGAAGGCCGCACCCACUGUCUAAGGGGGUUCCAGGCCCACAUCCUGGGCCACGUGAGAAGACGCGAUUCACUACCUCACUAUAAACCCAGUCCCAUGAAUCCCUGGA
Peromyscus maniculatus bairdii (prairie deer mouse) is the source of this 629-nucleotide long non-coding RNA. RefSeq lists it as uncharacterized. NCBI's taxonomy places the organism in Eukaryota, Metazoa, Chordata, Mammalia, Rodentia, Cricetidae. The record is from RefSeq and is a predicted model, not a curated record.